RNAcentral lists this ribosomal RNA (554 nucleotides) under Scatophagus argus. RNAcentral describes it as "partial 16S large subunit ribosomal RNA". It matches the Rfam family "Bacterial large subunit ribosomal RNA", at positions 1846 to 2586 of the family's 2925-position model. The record is from RNAcentral. Lineage: Eukaryota; Metazoa; Chordata; Actinopteri; Scatophagidae.
UAAGAAGUCCUGCCUGCCCUGUGACUAUAUGUUUAACGGCUGCGGUAUCCUGACCGUACGAAGGUAGCGCAAUCACUUGUCUUUUAAAUAGAGACCUGUAUGAAUGGCAAAACGAGGGCUCAACUGUCUCCUUUCUCAAGUCAAUGAAAUUGAUCUCCCCGUGCAGAAGCGGGGAUAAACCCAUAAGACGAGAAGACCCUAUGGAGCUUUAGAUGCAAGGACAGAUCACGUUAAGCACCUCUUAACAAAGAACCAAACCGAACGAACCCUGUCCCAGUAUCUUUGGUUGGGGCGACCGCGAGGAAAAACAAAACCCCCGCAUGGACUGAGGACACACCAUUCUCCCCUCUCCUCACAGCUAAGAGUUUCCACUCUAAGAACCAGAACUUCUGACCUACAAAGAUCCGGCAAUGCCGAUCAACGGACCCAGUUACCCUAGGGAUAACAGCGCAAUCCCCUUUUAGAGCCCAUAUCGACAAGGGGGUUUACGACCUCGAUGUUGGAUCAGGACAUCCUAAUGGUGCAGCCGCUAUUAAGGGUUCGUUUGUUCAACG